GUAGGUGAACCUGCGGAAGGAUCAUUAUUGAAUGAACUUGGUAUGAUUGUUGCUGGUUCUUAUAGGACAUGUGCACGUCUGCCAUCUUUAUAUCUCCACCUGUGCACACAUUGUAGGUCUGGAAUAACUCUCUGAGGAAACUCAGUUGUUAGGAUUGCUUCUGCAAAGGAGCUUUUCUUGUGUUUCCAGAUCUAUGUUUUCAUAUACACCAUAAGAAUGUAACAGAAUGUAUUAAUGGGUCUUGUACCUA
This 250-nucleotide unclassified non-coding RNA is filed under the name plant metagenome. RNAcentral's name for it is "partial contains small subunit ribosomal RNA, internal transcribed spacer 1, and 5.8S ribosomal RNA". The record is from RNAcentral.